AAUGGGGGCAACCCUGAUCCAGCCAUGCCGCGUGAGUGAAGAAGGCCUUCGGGUUGUAAAGCUCUUUCGGCCGGGAAGAAAUCGUGUGGGCUAAUACCUCACAUGGAUGACGGUACCGGAAUAAGAAGCACCGGCUAACUACGUGCCAGCAGCCGCGGUAAUACGUAGGGUGCGAGCGUUAAUCGGAAUUACUGGGCGUAAAGCGUGCGCAGGCGGUUUGAUAAGACAGGCGUGAAAUCCCCGGGCUUAACCUGGGAACUGCGCUUGUGACUGUCUCACUAGAGUACGGCAGAGGGGGGUGGAAUUCCACGUGUAGCAGUGAAAUGCGUAGAGAUGUGGAGGAACACCGAUGGCGAAGGCAGCCCCCUGGGCCGAUACUGACGCUCAUGCACGAAAGCGUGGGGAGCAAA
This 410-nucleotide ribosomal RNA is filed under the name uncultured bacterium. RNAcentral's name for it is "bacterial SSU rRNA". It matches the Rfam family "Bacterial small subunit ribosomal RNA", at positions 370 to 772 of the family's 1533-position model. The record is from RNAcentral.